CAAUAUAUUCAGAACAUAUUAUUAGUAAAGAGCAUAACCCCUUCUUUGAUUUGAAAAGUCACCGCAAACCUUGUCAGACACAUGAACUUGUGCUGUGUGUCAGGGCCCCAGCUACCCUGCAGGAAGUGGAGGGGUGGCCCCAGGCCUUCAGGCCAGCCAGGCAGGAGUCUCUUCUCCUCUCCAGACAGUAGGGACACAUGGCCUGACUCCUCACUUAGGUCUGGCUUAGGGACUCACAGGAAUACAAGAACUAGUUUCUUCCAGAUCAGAAGUUCUCACUAAAGCAGGUAUAAAUAUUUUAUUGAGUUUUCCUUAAUAUCCAAACUGUUCAACUAUAGAAGGCUUACUCCUUCGCCUGGGAUUUUCCUGACCUGUUACUACUUUUCUCUGGAAGAAAAAUUUAAAAGUAAUAAAGACAAACUACAGUUACUUGGGUGAGUUGGCUCCCCAGGCUUUUGAGAUACCUGCCUUUUGUCCAGCACUGCAUCGUCCUCGCAUAUCCAAGGCUGUGUCUCCCUUCAGCAUCACCACUCG
Molecule: long non-coding RNA, 534 nt
Filed under: Homo sapiens (human)
Lineage: Eukaryota; Metazoa; Chordata; Mammalia; Primates; Hominidae
Description: HSALNT0329572
Source: RNAcentral